This 465-nucleotide ribosomal RNA is filed under the name Vreelandella stevensii. Its description in RNAcentral is "partial 16S ribosomal RNA". It matches the Rfam family "Bacterial small subunit ribosomal RNA", at positions 338 to 795 of the family's 1533-position model. The record is from RNAcentral. Lineage: Bacteria; Pseudomonadati; Pseudomonadota; Gammaproteobacteria; Oceanospirillales; Halomonadaceae.
CCUACGGGGGGCAGCAGUGGGGAAUAUUGGACAAUGGGCGAAAGCCUGAUCCAGCCAUGCCGCGUGUGUGAAGAAGGCCGUCGGGUUGUAAAGCACUUUCAGUGGGGAAGAAAGCCUUGGGGCUAAUACCCUCGAGGAAGGACAUCACCCACAGAAGAAGCACCGGCUAACUCCGUGCAAGCAGCCGCGGUAAUACGGAGGGUGCGAGCGUUAAUCGGAAUUACUGGGCGUAAAGCGCGCGUAGGCGGUCUGAUAAGCCGGUUGUGAAAGCCCCGGGCUCAACCUGGGAACGGCAUCCGGAACUGUCAGGCUAGAGUGCAGUAGAGGAAGGUAGAAUUCCCGGUGUAGCGGUGAAAUGCGUAGAGAUCGGGAGGAAUACCAGUGGCGAAGGCGGCCUUCUGGACUGACACUGACGCUGAGGUGCGAAAGCGUGGGUAGCAAACAGGAUUAGAUACCCCAGUAGUC